CGGAUGACUUGUGGCUGGGGGUGAAAGGCCAAUCAAACCGGGAGAUAGCUGGUUCUCCCCGAAAGCUAUUUAGGUAGCGCCUCGUGAAUUCAUCUCCGGGGGUAGAGCACUGUUUCGGCAAGGGGGUCAUCCCGACUUACCAACCCGAUGCAAACUGCGAAUACCGGAGAAUGUUAUCACGGGAGACACACGGCGGGUGCUAACGUCCGUCGUGAAGAGGGAAACAACCCAGACCGCCAGCUAAGGUCCCAAAGUCAUGGUUAAGUGGGAAACGAUGUGGGAAGGCCCAGACAGCCAGGAUGUUGGCUUAGAAGCAGCCAUCAUUUAAAGAAAGCGUAAUAGCUCACUGGUCGAGUCGGCCUGCGCGGAAGAUGUAACGGGGCUAAACCAUGCACCGAAGCUGCGGCAGCGACACUAAGUGUUGUUGGGUAGGGGAGCGUUCUGUAAGCCUGUGAAGGUGUGCUGUGAGGUAUGCUGGAGGUAUCAGAAGUGCGAAUGCUGACAUAAGUAACGAUAAAGCGGGUGAAAAGCCCGCUCGCCGGAAGACCAAGGGUUCCUGUCCAACGUUAAUCGGGGCAGGGUGAGUCGACCCCUAAGGCGAGGCCGAAAGGCGUAGUCGAUGGGAAACAGGUUAAUAUUCCUGUACUUGGUGUUACUGCGAAGGGGGGACGGAGAAGGCUAUGUUGGCCGGGCGACGGUUGUCCCGGUUUAAGCGUGUAGGCUGAUUUUCCAGGCAAAUCCGGAAAAUCAAGGCUGAGGCGUGAUGACGAGGCACUACGGUGCUGAAGCAACAAAUGCCCUGCUUCCAGGAAAAGCCUCUAAGCAUCAGGUAACAUCAAAUCGUACCCCAAACCGACACAGGUGGUCAGGUAGAGAAUACCAAGGCGCUUGAGAGAACUCGGGUGAAGGAACUAGGCAAAAUGGUGCCGUAACUUCGGGAGAAGGCACGCUGAUAUGUAGGUGAAGCCACUUGCUCAUGGAGCUGAAAUCAGUCGAAGAUACCAGCUGGCUGCAACUGUUUAUUAAAAACACAGCACUGUGCAAACACGAAAGUGGACGUAUACGGUGUGACGCCUGCCCGGUGCCGGAAGGUUAAUUGAUGGGGUUAGCGGUAACGCGAAGCUCUUGAUCGAAGCCCCGGUAAACGGCGGCCGUAACUAUAACGGUCCUAAGGUAGCGAAAUUCCUUGUCGGGUAAGUUCCGACCUGCACGAAUGGCGUAAUGAUGGCCAGGCUGUCUCCACCCGAGACUCAGUGAAAUUGAACUCGCUGUGAAGAUGCAGUGUACCCGCGGCAAGACGGAAAGACCCCGUGAACCUUUACUAUAGCUUGACACUGAACAUUGAGCCUUGAUGUGUAGGAUAGGUGGGAGGCUUUGAAGUGUGGACGCCAGUCUGCAUGGAGCCGGCCUUGAAAUACCACCCUUUAAUGUUUGAUGUUCUAACGUUGGCCCCUGAUCGGGGUUGCGGACAGUGUCUGGUGGGUAGUUUGACUGGGGCGGUCUCCUCCUAAAGAGUAACGGAGGAGCACGAAGGUUGGCUAAUCCUGGUCGGACAUCAGGAGGUUAGUGCAAUGGCAUAAGCCAGCUUGACUGCGAGCGUGACGGCGCGAGCAGGUGCGAAAGCAGGUCAUAGUGAUCCGGUGGUUCUGAAUGGAAGGGCCAUCGCUCAACGGAUAAAAGGUACUCCGGGGAUAACAGGCUGAUACCGCCCAAGAGUUCAUAUCGACGGCGGUGUUUGGCACCUCGAUGUCGGCUCAUCACAUCCUGGGGCUGAAGUAGGUCCCAAGGGUAUGGCUGUUCGCCAUUUAAAGUGGUACGCGAGCUGGGUUUAGAACGUCGUGAGACAGUUCGGUCCCUAUCUGCCGUGGGCGCUGGAGAACUGAGGGGGGCUGCUCCUAGUACGAGAGGACCGGAGUGGACGCAUCACUGGUGUUCGGGUUGUCAUGCCAAUGGCACUGCCCGGUAGCUAAAUGCGGAAGAGAUAAGUGCUGAAAGCAUCUAAGCACGAAACUUGCCCCGAGAUGAGUUCUCCCUGACUCCUUGAGAGUCCUGAAGGAACGUUGAAGACGACGACGUUGAUAGGCCGGGUGUGUAAGCGCAGCGAUGCGUUGAGCUAACCGGUACUAAUGAACCGUGAGGCUUAACCUU
This 2148-nucleotide ribosomal RNA is filed under the name Escherichia coli UCI 57. RNAcentral describes it as "bacterial LSU rRNA". It matches the Rfam family "Bacterial large subunit ribosomal RNA", at positions 801 to 2925 of the family's 2925-position model. The record is from RNAcentral. Lineage: Bacteria; Pseudomonadati; Pseudomonadota; Gammaproteobacteria; Enterobacterales; Enterobacteriaceae.